UCUGCCCCAGGACUGCCUUUGCUUCAACAGCAAAGGCAGCAGAUAAUAGCCCAGCUGAGGGCUGUGAAUAGACAGAUUUAUGCCAAUCUACCAAGGAGAGCUGGCAGGGGCAGGGGCCGCAGGCCGAGGCCCAGAGGGGCCGUAACAAAAAA
Amphimedon queenslandica is the source of this 152-nucleotide long non-coding RNA. RefSeq lists it as uncharacterized. The transcript is spliced from 2 exons. The record is from RefSeq and is a predicted model, not a curated record. Lineage: Eukaryota; Metazoa; Porifera; Demospongiae; Haplosclerida; Niphatidae.